This is a long non-coding RNA of Mya arenaria, 473 nucleotides long. RefSeq lists it as uncharacterized. The record is from RefSeq and is a predicted model, not a curated record. The transcript has 3 exons. NCBI's taxonomy places the organism in Eukaryota, Metazoa, Mollusca, Bivalvia, Myida, Myidae.
CUCAACGUAACACAAAGUUAAAGCUCAUUUACAAACUAGACACAGGACGGAGAUUAUCAGAGAGCUAACUUGCAGUUAUUCACACGAUGAAAGGAGCACUUUUCCUGGCUGUUGUAGGGAUCAUGAUGAUGGUUGCCAUCUUCCCGGAAGUGACGCAAUCCCACGAUAACUUCUGCUGUUUGUGGAAAGCGCCGUUAUGUCCUCCGAACUGGCCGUGUGUGAUUUCGGAAACAAAUCACCACCAUUGCCAUUGUCACGACCCAAGACCCGACUAAGCGUCAAUGAAAGGACUUCAGCGCUGAAACUAUGACCUGAUGAAUGAGAGGAAAUGUACAUGUAGAUAGAAGUAUACUAGUGAACCCAUGUAUUAUAAUUAUAUGUAUUGUUUACCAAUAUUUUCUGAUUCUGAUAGGAAGGAAGUUGUGUCGUUUAUUCUGAUUUUGUAAAUGUAUUAACACAAUAUUAUAGUUUUU